CCAGAGAGAGGUAGACUUGCUAUUUCAACAGUAAAAUCAUUAAUACAAAUAAAAGUUAACAGAUAUGGACUGUAUUACUUACUAUAAUGAAAUAAAGAUCAGAAAAGAUUUUUUAAAAAAAGUGUUAUCAUCUGAAAAAUAUGAGCAUUGAUACUUUUAAGUUUCUCCUUUCACUAUUUUUGUACAUCACCAUGUACAUUUAAUCAAAUUGCGUUAUACGAAGCCAACGAAAUUUUUUCGUGCCAUCUAACUUUGUACAUCACAAUGUACAUCAUAGUCGAAUGUUUUUAUGUGGGUAGUAUACAUGCGGCAAACUGUUAACAUCAGGUCGGGCAAAUUUUAUGCGUGGUUAUGGUAUUCUAACAUAAACAACGUUUGACGUGACAUUUUAUUUUUGCAAUUGCUGUUGAAUUUUUGAAAAAAAAUUAGUUUUGUGAUUUGUUACUGGUAAGUAUGCAUUGCAACGUCAAAGUUCACAACUUUUUAGAAAUUUUUAUAUUAUACUUGAUGAACAAAUGAAGUUUGAAUUAGUAUGUACAUCAGGAAGGACAAACGCAGUUCAGUGGGUCUAAUGUUUGUUGUUGUAAAAAAGUUACAUUUUUCACAAAUGAGAUAAAUAAUUUGUAGUACUGUAAAUACUCGUAGCAUAAUGAACUGAUUUGGUUCUAUCCCUUCAAAUUUGGCUAUACUUUGUUUUUUAUCGAAGAAUUUGUUUUUUUUAUCGUAUUUUCUUCAGAUAAUGUCAAAUAUAAGAAAAGAUAAGGACCCACACAGAAAACUUACAGAAGCGGAACUUCUUUAUUACCUCGAAAAUGAUAUUUCUGAUAUCGAAUUUUUGUCAGAUGAUGAGUUGGAAUUAGACGAAGUGUGCAGAGACCAAACAAAUGAUAACGUUUUAGAUGGAAUAAGUACUGAAGAUCGAGAAAAUGAAGAUGAAGAUUUGGCAGAUGAACAAGAAGGGCCGGAGGAAAUUGUAAUUGGGGAAAAUGACAAAGAUGAUAGAGGGCAAUUCGAAAAAGAAAAAGAAAAUUUUGCGAAAAUCCAUAACCUAACUGAAAAAUCAAAAAUAAGGUGGAUACAGAAAGACAAUAUAGAAUACGAAACAAGGAAUAUUCACUGGCAUGCAAGUCAACCAUCAACCUUAGUUGUAGAUUUGCCAGCUCCAGUAAAAUUUUUUACUAAAUAUAUUCCCGAUAAAAUACUGCAACAAAUGGCUGAUAUGACAAAUUUAUACGCCACGCAGCAAAAUACUGCUAGGUUUCCCUCAACUAGUUUGACUGAAAUCAAAUCUUUUAUAGGAAUCCAUAUUAUUAUGGGAAAUUUACAGUUUCCUCGAGUCUCCAUGUAUUGGCACCGUAGUAUGGGAAUACCAUUAGUGAAAGAUAACAUGCCUCUAUCUAGAUUCUACAAGCUGCGCCAGGCAAUACAUAUAGUUGACAUUACCAGCCGCGAAGAAAACAACCAAGAUAGAUUGUGGAAGGUAAGAUGUUUGUACGAGUCUGUAAGGAGAAGAUGCCUCAAGCUUCCACUAGAAACUAAUCUGUGUGUCGAUGAACAAAUAGUUCCAUUCAAGGGACAAAUCAAUAUCAAACAAUAUGUAAAAAACAAACCCACAAAAUGGGGUAUCAAAAUCUACGUCUUAGCCGGCCAAAGUGGCCUGAUAUACGACUUUCUAAUUUAUCAAGGUUCGACAACGCCCUUCAGUCCUAUAUAUGUAAAAUAUGGGUCGGCGGCUGCCGUGGUUAUGCAACUUAGCGAAAGAAUAUCUGAAUCGAACCAUGGCCUUAUGUCAGUUUGACAUUUACUUUCACACCAUUUAAGGAAAGAAUCAUAUGCGGCUUCAUAUCUACUUUUAAAUUUUUCGGGAAUGAUCGAUGCGCAACCAAUACUCCAUGCAUCUUCUAUUUCGAAAUCUUCUGAAUCAUUUAGGAAGAAGAUUUUGCCGAAAACAAUAUAAAUAAUUUAGUCGAGAUAAAUUCUCCCUGCAUUAUUGAAAUAGAUAAACCAGAACCGAAAGAAUAUUGGGUCAUACUGGAGAGGAAACCAUUCAAAUGUGUAUGUGAUUUAAUAAUUGCAAUUGAAAUUGCUUUCGGAUUACACUACAUCUUUAACUUAGCAUAUCCAAAUGAGGUGUCCAACCUCUUGGAAAAAAUACAGAUAUUUUCUUAAAAUUAACCCCGACCAA
Photinus pyralis (common eastern firefly) is the source of this 2185-nucleotide RNA transcript. RefSeq lists it as uncharacterized. The record is from RefSeq and is a predicted model, not a curated record. The transcript is spliced from 4 exons. NCBI's taxonomy places the organism in Eukaryota, Metazoa, Arthropoda, Insecta, Coleoptera, Lampyridae.